RNAcentral lists this ribosomal RNA (956 nucleotides) under uncultured bacterium. Its description in RNAcentral is "bacterial SSU rRNA". It matches the Rfam family "Bacterial small subunit ribosomal RNA", at positions 500 to 1453 of the family's 1533-position model. The record is from RNAcentral.
AAUUCGCCCUUCAGCAGCCGCGGUAAUACGUAGGUGGCAAGCGUUGUCCGGAUUUAUUGGGCGUAAAGUGAGCGCAGGCGGUUUCUUAAGUCUGAUGUGAAAGCCCCCGGCUCAACCGGGGAGGGUCAUUGGAAACUGGGAGACUUGAGUGCAGAAGAGGAGAGUGGAAUUCCAUGUGUAGCGGUGAAAUGCGUAGAUAUAUGGAGGAACAUCAGUGGCGAAGGCGGCUCUCUGGUCUGUAACUGACGCUGAGGCUCGAAAGCGUGGGGAGCAAACAGGAUUAGAUACCCUGGUAGUCCACGCCGUAAACGAUGAGUGCUAAGUGUUGGAGGGUUUCCGCCCUUCAGUGCUGCAGCUAACGCAUUAAGCACUCCGCCUGGGGAGUACGACCGCAAGGUUGAAACUCAAAGGAAUUGACGGGGGCCCGCACAAGCGGUGGUGCAUGUGGUUUAAUUCGAAGCAACGCGAAGAACCUUACCAGGUCUUGACAUCCUUUGACCACUCUAGAGAUAGAGCUUCCCCUUCGGGGGCAAAGUGACAGGUGGUGCAUGGUUGUCGUCAGCUCGUGUCGUGAGAUGUUGGGUUAAGUCCCGCAACGAGCGCAACCCUUAUUGUUAGUUGCCAUCAUUCAGUUGGGCACUCUAGCAAGACUGCCGGUGACAAACCGGAGGAAGGUGGGGAUGACGUCAAAUCAUCAUGCCCCUUAUGACCUGGGCUACACACGUGCUACAAUGGGAAGUACAACGAGUUGCGAAGUCGCGAGGCUAAGCUAAUCUCUUAAAGCUUCUCUCAGUUCGGAUUGCAGGCUGCAACUCGCCUGCAUGAAGCCGGAAUCGCUAGCAAUCGCGGAUCAGCACGCCGCGGUGAAUACGUUCCCGGGCCUUGUACACACCGCCCGUCACACCACGAGAGUUUGUAACACCCGAAGUCGGUGAGGUAACCUUUUUGGAGCCAGC